CCUACGGGUGGCUGCAGUGGGGAAUAUUGCACAAUGGGCGCAAGCCUGAUGCAGCCAUGCCGCGUGUGUGAAGAAGGCCUUCGGGUUGUAAAGCACUUUCAGCGGGGAGGAGGGCGUUAAGGUUAAUAACCUUGUCGAUUGACGUUACCCGCAGAAGAAGCACCGGCUAACUCCGUGCCAGCAGCCGCGGUAAUACGGAGGGUGCAAGCGUUAAUCGGAAUUACUGGGCGUAAAGCGCACGCAGGCGGUCUGUCAAGUCGGAUGUGAAAUCCCCGGGCUCAACCUGGGAACUGCAUUCGAAACUGGCAGGGUAGAGUCGUGUAGAGGGGGGUAGAAUUCCAGGUGUAGCGGGGAAACGCGUAGAGAUCUGGAGGAAUACCGGUGGCGAAGGCGGCCCCCUGGACAAAGACUGACGCUCAGGUGCGAAAGCGUGGGGAGCAAACAGGAUUAGAUACCCGAGGAGUC
This 465-nucleotide ribosomal RNA is filed under the name uncultured Klebsiella sp. Its description in RNAcentral is "bacterial SSU rRNA". It matches the Rfam family "Bacterial small subunit ribosomal RNA", at positions 338 to 795 of the family's 1533-position model. The record is from RNAcentral. Lineage: Bacteria; Pseudomonadati; Pseudomonadota; Gammaproteobacteria; Enterobacterales; Enterobacteriaceae.